This 253-nucleotide ribosomal RNA is filed under the name uncultured bacterium. RNAcentral describes it as "partial 16S ribosomal RNA". It matches the Rfam family "Bacterial small subunit ribosomal RNA", at positions 524 to 776 of the family's 1533-position model. The record is from RNAcentral.
UACAGAGGUGGCAAGCGUUGUUCGGAAUUACUGGGCGUAAAGGGCGCGUAGGCGGUCUUUUAAGUCUUGUGUGAAAUCCCUCGGCUCAACUGAGGAACUGCACGAGAUACUGGAAGACUUGAGUUCGGGAGAGGGAAGCGGAAUUCCGGGUGUAGCGGUGAAAUGCGUAGAUAUCCGGAGGAACACCGGUGGCGAAGGCGGCUUCCUGGACCGACACUGACGCUGAGGCGCGAAAGCUAGGGGAGCAAACGGG